UCUCAGAGUUUUUCAAGUGAGAA
RNAcentral lists this small nuclear RNA (23 nucleotides) under Arabidopsis thaliana (thale cress). RNAcentral describes it as "snRNA_04566". Lineage: Eukaryota; Viridiplantae; Streptophyta; Magnoliopsida; Brassicales; Brassicaceae. The record is from RNAcentral.